ACGGAAGGCAGCAGUGAGGAAUAUUGGUCAAUGGACGCAAGUCUGAACCAGCCAUGCCGCGUGCAGGAAUAAGGCCCUAUGGGUCGUAGACUGCUUUUGUGGUGGAGCAAUAAGUCGUACGUGUACGGCGAUGAGAGUACAUCACGAAUAAGCAUCGGCUAACUCCGUGCCAGCAGCCGCGGUAAUACGGAGGAUGCAAGCGUUAUCCGGAUUUAUUGGGUUUAAAGGGUGCGUAGGCUGUGGUCCAAGUCAGGGGUGAAAGCCCGGAGCUCAACUCCGGAACUGCCUUUGAUACUGGAUUGCUGGAAUACGGAUGCCGUGGGAGGAAUGAGUAGUGUAGCGGUGAAAUGCAUAGAUAUUACUCAGAACACCGAUUGCGAAGGCAUCUCACGAAUCCGUCAUUGACGCUGAGGCACGAAAGCGUGGGGAUCAAACAGGAUUAGAUACCCUGGUA
Molecule: ribosomal RNA, 454 nt
Filed under: uncultured Rikenellaceae bacterium
Lineage: Bacteria; Pseudomonadati; Bacteroidota; Bacteroidia; Bacteroidales; Rikenellaceae
Description: partial 16S ribosomal RNA
Rfam family: Bacterial small subunit ribosomal RNA
Source: RNAcentral